GUCUCUUGAAACAAAAAGCAAGAACGACUAGACCAGCACAUCCAUCUACAGACUGUUUAAACUAACAAGUCCACGGUCAGUGCGCAGUAUAGAAAACGCCUCAGAAUCCUUAGAACAGAUAGGCUGGUGGUAAGGGAAGAAUCCCGGGCUCCUUGGUCUGUUCUGCACUUGAAGAGGGGGAUUUAUUAUAGAAGUGCUUACAGAUGAAGUAACAAUCAAAUGAGAGAUCUGGAGAAAAGUGACUGUGGUGAAAUUUGUGCUUUCUAGAAGAAAAACUCCUAGGAGGGGCAGCAUGUACUCCUGCUCUGGACGGCGCUGCCUCAGUCCUGGGACUUGACAGCCAACUUAAUUUCACCAGCAGCAGCUUACUUCCUCUUUACUGGAGCUGGAGACCAGAGGACACAGCAAAGCUGAGUCAGAGCUGGCACAGGGCACGCUCAAGUCCAUGAAAGUAGAAGCCUCCUGAAGAUUGCUGUAGGUACCCGCUUGCCUCAUUCUCAUUCCAGCCCUGUAUGGAGGGCGCUGAGCCUUAGAGAAGAUUGGACCAAUGGUUACAAGUUUCACAGCUGCUUA
RNAcentral lists this long non-coding RNA (573 nucleotides) under Fukomys damarensis (Damara mole-rat). RNAcentral describes it as "lncRNA (ENSFDAG00000022103.1)". Lineage: Eukaryota; Metazoa; Chordata; Mammalia; Rodentia; Bathyergidae. The record is from RNAcentral.